AAGUGCGAAAUCAGUUUCUCUCCUUCACUGUGCUUUGUGCGAAAUCAGUUUCUCUUCUUCCUCCAUUCUCGAUCACUCCGUCUCCUCUCUCGAAUCUCAUUUCAUCCUUUUGGGUUAGGCAAAAUCUCCUUAUGAUGCUAUGAUGAAGAUCAGAAGAGAAGAAGGCUUCAAGAGAAUGAUUGUUUCUGGAAAUCGAUGGUGGGAAUGAGCGUUCAACGGGAAGCUGGCGAAGACGGCAAGAUCUCACGGGAAGAAGUUUCAGGUCACGGUGGAGAAGGAGACAUCAAGGAUUUUGGGAAACUUGGGAUGGGCUUAUAUGGAGAUAAUGGAGUACACAGCGGCUGAAGCUGUGUACCGUAAAGCUCAAGUUGUAGAGCCUGAUGCUAACAAGGCUUGUAAUCUGUGCACUUGUCUCAUCAAGCAAGGGAAGGUCGAUGAGGCGAGGUCGGUUAUGUUUCGUGAUGUAUUGUAGGAAAACAAAGAAGGGUUCGAUGAUGAUUCGAGGUUGAAGGUUCGAGUUCAAGAGCUGUUGAGCGAUCUAGAUGUUGUCACUUCUGUUUAUGUGGAAUGUGAAGUUGGUAUGGAUGAGAUCGCGGUUGUGGAAGAGAUUGAUGAGAUCAACUGGCUUGUUGAUGAUUCUUCGUUGCUUUGGUCUUUUGAAUGACCUUAUAAGAUCACAUGUGGCACCAAAACUCUUGAGCUGAAUCUGGCUAUUUAAUGGCAAAACAUGAAAUAGCCAGAUCGAUAUAUUCUUAUCAAGUGGUAUCAACAAGAUUUUUUGAUCUCGUGACCGUGGAUGCUGUUUAAACGAGGACGGUAUUGUUAAAUGUUAAGUAUCCUACAUCGCAAAGGAAUGAUGAUACAAGUUACUCUUUAAAGCUUUAGAUCGCGGCUUAUCUGUCUCUAGCCUUACCAGAUCAGGUAGGUCGACUGUACAAGAGUCAUGGGCUUCCAGAGUUACAUGGCAUCAAGGUACUUGUUAGAUCACUUCAACAUGUUUUAGGAACUAGAAUGUUUCCUCUAUGCUACUUUCAGAGUUACAUGGCAUCAAGGUUUUACAAUCGAUUUCAGACCAUAUCGACCAACCGGUCUCAUCUUUGGUUGAUCCGAUUUGAACCUCCAACAACCAUUUGGGCGACCCAGAUUCCAGCCUGCAACAUUUGGUAUCAGAGCUCAAGCUCCUGAAUCAGGUCCAUUCUAUCCUUGCAUCAUUCAUAUUUGUUUGCAUUUGUUUUCAUUUAAAAAAAAAACAGUUUUUGCAUUGUUAUUGUUGUUCUUAAGAAAAGAAAACUAAAGAAGAAGAAGUUGUCUAGUUUGAUCCACGAAAUUCUUUUGAAAUACUUGUCUAGUUGUUUGCAUUCAUUCCCCAGCUCCACUUGCCAUAUUUAGAUUUUGUGCAUUCAUUUUUAAAAAAAAAAAUCUGCAUUUCCAUAUUUGUUUCUUGCAUAAGAAAAUUCAAAAAAAAAAUAUCCUUGUUAGUUUGUUUCCAUAAGUCUUUCUAUUUAUUGUUCAUAGCAUCCCAUACUGAUUUAUUUCGUGCUUACAUCAAGAAAAAAAUUAAAAAAAAGAAAUUAUUUAGAGCAUAGUUCAUAUCAUUUGCAUAUUGUGGUUUAAUUGUUGCAUCUUAAGAAAAUUCAAAAAAAAAAAUCAGGCUUAGUUUAAUUUUUAUAUUUUCUUUCCCUUUGUGUUUCUUAUCAUACCAUAUUGUUUAAUUUCGAGAUUGCAUUCAGAAAACCAAUAGAGAAAAAUCAUUUUAGUAUAGUUACUUCAUUUCGGUUCAUAAUUGCAUAUUUUCUCGGUUUAGUUAAAUUGCAUUCUUGCACUUGUUUUAUUUUGGUUCAACCAAAACUUUCCAUACCUUCACUUGUUCUUUGAGAUUGUUUUCAGGAAGCAAUGGAGGAGGAGAGACACGGCCAAAACCUAAGGGCCACCUUGAGCCAACAGACCGCAGCUCUACAAAAGCUCCAAAUUAAGAUUGCUCAAUUGGAGAAAAGAAAUCAGGCACAAGGCCAACGACCACAGCAAGGAAAAACAAGAUUUGGAGAUGUACCAGGGGCUAUAUAUGUCGAUCCCAAGCCACCAGAUCCUUCAAAGAUCAAUCAAACUCCAACUUCUAAAACCCACAACAAUCAUGUUGUUAAUUCUCGGUUUGAUUAUAACUCUUUUGCUGAUAAAAUUGAACUCUUUAAAUUUUCAGGAAAAAUAGGUUAUCUUAGAUGGGAAAGAAACCUUGAUGAGUGGUUUCACUACAACAACAUCCAGAAAAAGGAGAGGUUGUUUUAUGCCAUUGAUCAACUAAAAGAUGAUGCCUUUAAAUGGUGGG
Molecule: long non-coding RNA, 2323 nt
Organism: Brassica oleracea var. oleracea
Lineage: Eukaryota; Viridiplantae; Streptophyta; Magnoliopsida; Brassicales; Brassicaceae
Exons: 4
Source: RefSeq, a predicted model, not a curated record